CGUGGAUCAAGGGGUUCAAGUUGAGACGUGGUCAGCCUCUCAGGACAAGCUAGACAUCACCUUCUCCUUCCCCUGAGGCAUGGCUUUCUGGUGUGAUGCAGUGUUCUGGUGUCGUGGAUCAAGGGGUUCAAGUUGAGACGUGGUCAGCCUCUCAGGACAAGCUAGACAUCACCUUCUCCUUCCCCUGAGGCAUGGCUUUCUGGUGUGAUGCAGUGUUCUGGUGUCGUGGAUCAAGGGGUUCAAGUUGAGACGUGGUCAGCCUCUCAGGACAAGCUAGACAUCACCUUCUCCUUCCCCUGAGGCAUGGCUUUCUGGUGUGAUGCAGUGUUCUGGUGUCGUGGAUCAAGGGGUUCAAGUUGAGACGUGGUCAGCCUCUCAGGACAAGCUAGACAUCACCUUCUCCUUCCCCUGAGGCAUGGCUUUCUGGUGUGAUGCAGUGUUCUGGUGUCGUGGAUCAAGGGGUUCAAGUUGAGACGUGGUCAGCCUCUCAGGACAAGCUAGACAUCACCUUCUCCUUCCCCUGAGGCAUGGCUUUCUGGUGUGAUGCAGUGUUCUGGUGUCGUGGAUCAAGGGGUUCAAGUUGAGACGUGGUCAGCCUCUCAGGACAAGCUAGACAUCACCUUCUCCUUCCCCUGAGGCAUGGCUUUCUGGUGUGAUGCAGUGUUCUGGUGUCGUGGAUCAAGGGGUUCAAGUUGAGACGUGGUCAGCCUCUCAGGACAAGCUAGACAUCACCUUCUCCUUCCCCUGAGGCAUGGCUUUCUGGUGUGAUGCAGUGUUCUGGUGUCGUGGAUCAAGGGGUUCAAGUUGAGACGUGGUCAGCCUCUCAGGACAAGCUAGACAUCACCUUCUCCUUCCCCUGAGGCAUGGCUUUCUGGUGUGAUGCAGUGUUCUGGUGUCGUGGAUCAAGGGGUUCAAGUUGAGACGUGGUCAGCCUCUCAGGACAAGCUAGACAUCACCUUCUCCUUCCCCUGAGGCAUGGCUUUCUGGUGUGAUGCAGUGUUCUGGUGUCGUGGAUCAAGGGGUUCAAGUUGAGACGUGGUCAGCCUCUCAGGACAAGCUAGACAUCACCUUCUCCUUCCCCUGAGGCAUGGCUUUCUGGUGUGAUGCAGUGUUCUGGUGUCGUGGAUCAAGGGGUUCAAGUUGAGACGUGGUCAGCCUCUCAGGACAAGCUAGACAUCACCUUCUCCUUCCCCUGAGGCAUGGCUUUCUGGUGUGAUGCAGUGUUCUGGUGUCGUGGAUCAAGGGGUUCAAGUUGAGACGUGGUCAGCCUCUCAGGACAAGCUAGACAUCACCUUCUCCUUCCCCUGAGGCAUGGCUUUCUGGUGUGAUGCAGUGUUCUGGUGUCGUGGAUCAAGGGGUUCAAGUUGAGACGUGGUCAGCCUCUCAGGACAAGCUAGACAUCACCUUCUCCUUCCCCUGAGGCAUGGCUUUCUGGUGUGAUGCAGUGUUCUGGUGUCGUGGAUCAAGGGGUUCAAGUUGAGACGUGGUCAGCCUCUCAGGACAAGCUAGACAUCACCUUCUCCUUCCCCUGAGGCAUGGCUUUCUGGUGUGAUGCAGUGUUCUGGUGUCGUGGAUCAAGGGGUUCAAGUUGAGACGUGGUCAGCCUCUCAGGACAAGCUAGACAUCACCUUCUCCUUCCCCUGAGGCAUGGCUUUCUGGUGUGAUGCAGUGUUCUGGUGUCGUGGAUCAAGGGGUUCAAGUUGAGACGUGGUCAGCCUCUCAGGACAAGCUAGACAUCACCUUCUCCUUCCCCUGAGGCAUGGCUUUCUGGUGUGAUGCAGUGUUCUGGUGUCGUGGAUCAAGGGGUUCAAGUUGAGACGUGGUCAGCCUCUCAGGACAAGCUAGACAUCACCUUCUCCUUCCCCUGAGGCAUGGCUUUCUGGUGUGAUGCAGUGUUCUGGUGUCGUGGAUCAAGGGGUUCAAGUUGAGACGUGGUCAGCCUCUCAGGACAAGCUAGACAUCACCUUCUCCUUCCCCUGAGGCAUGGCUUUCUGGUGUGAUGCAGUGUUCUGGUGUCGUGGAUCAAGGGGUUCAAGUUGAGACGUGGUCAGCCUCUCAGGACAAGCUAGACAUCACCUUCUCCUUCCCCUGAGGCAUGGCUUUCUGGUGUGAUGCAGUGUUCUGGUGUCGUGGAUCAAGGGGUUCAAGUUGAGACGUGGUCAGCCUCUCAGGACAAGCUAGACAUCACCUUCUCCUUCCCCUGAGGCAUGGCUUUCUGGUGUGAUGCAGUGUUCUGGUGUCGUGGAUCAAGGGGUUCAAGUUGAGACGUGGUCAGCCUCUCAGGACAAGCUAGACAUCACCUUCUCCUUCCCCUGAGGCAUGGCUUUCUGGUGUGAUGCAGUGUUCUGGUGUCGUGGAUCAAGGGGUUCAAGUUGAGACGUGGUCAGCCUCUCAGGACAAGCUAGACAUCACCUUCUCCUUCCCCUGAGGCAUGGCUUUCUGGUGUGAUGCAGUGUUCUGGUGUCGUGGAUCAAGGGGUUCAAGUUGAGACGUGGUCAGCCUCUCAGGACAAGCUAGACAUCACCUUCUCCUUCCCCUGAGGCAUGGCUUUCUGGUGUGAUGCAGUGUUCUGGUGUCGUGGAUCAAGGGGUUCAAGUUGAGACGUGGUCAGCCUCUCAGGACAAGCUAGACAUCACCUUCUCCUUCCCCUGAGGCAUGGCUUUCUGGUGUGAUGCAGUGUUCUGGUGUCGUGGAUCAAGGGGUUCAAGUUGAGACGUGGUCAGCCUCUCAGGACAAGCUAGACAUCACCUUCUCCUUCCCCUGAGGCAUGGCUUUCUGGUGUGAUGCAGUGUUCUGGUGUCGUGGAUCAAGGGGUUCAAGUUGAGACGUGGUCAGCCUCUCAGGACAAGCUAGACAUCACCUUCUCCUUCCCCUGAGGCAUGGCUUUCUGGUGUGAUGCAGUGUUCUGGUGUCGUGGAUCAAGGGGUUCAAGUUGAGACGUGGUCAGCCUCUCAGGACAAGCUAGACAUCACCUUCUCCUUCCCCUGAGGCAUGGCUUUCUGGUGUGAUGCAGUGUUCUGGUGUCGUGGAUCAAGGGGUUCAAGUUGAGACGUGGUCAGCCUCUCAGGACAAGCUAGACAUCACCUUCUCCUUCCCCUGAGGCAUGGCUUUCUGGUGUGAUGCAGUGUUCUGGUGUCGUGGAUCAAGGGGUUCAAGUUGAGACGUGGUCAGCCUCUCAGGACAAGCUAGACAUCACCUUCUCCUUCCCCUGAGGCAUGGCUUUCUGGUGUGAUGCAGUGUUCUGGUGUCGUGGAUCAAGGGGUUCAAGUUGAGACGUGGUCAGCCUCUCAGGACAAGCUAGACAUCACCUUCUCCUUCCCCUGAGGCAUGGCUUUCUGGUGUGAUGCAGUGUUCUGGUGUCGUGGAUCAAGGGGUUCAAGUUGAGACGUGGUCAGCCUCUCAGGACAAGCUAGACAUCACCUUCUCCUUCCCCUGAGGCAUGGCUUUCUGGUGUGAUGCAGUGUUCUGGUGUCGUGGAUCAAGGGGUUCAAGUUGAGACGUGGUCAGCCUCUCAGGACAAGCUAGACAUCACCUUCUCCUUCCCCUGAGGCAUGGCUUUCUGGUGUGAUGCAGUGUUCUGGUGUCGUGGAUCAAGGGGUUCAAGUUGAGACGUGGUCAGCCUCUCAGGACAAGCUAGACAUCACCUUCUCCUUCCCCUGAGGCAUGGCUUUCUGGUGUGAUGCAGUGUUCUGGUGUCGUGGAUCAAGGGGUUCAAGUUGAGACGUGGUCAGCCUCUCAGGACAAGCUAGACAUCACCUUCUCCUUCCCCUGAGGCAUGGCUUUCUGGUGUGAUGCAGUGUUCUGGUGUCGUGGAUCAAGGGGUUCAAGUUGAGACGUGGUCAGCCUCUCAGGACAAGCUAGACAUCACCUUCUCCUUCCCCUGAGGCAUGGCUUUCUGGUGUGAUGCAGUGUUCUGGUGUCGUGGAUCAAGGGGUUCAAGUUGAGACGUGGUCAGCCUCUCAGGACAAGCUAGACAUCACCUUCUCCUUCCCCUGAGGCAUGGCUUUCUGGUGUGAUGCAGUGUUCUGGUGUCGUGGAUCAAGGGGUUCAAGUUGAGACGUGGUCAGCCUCUCAGGACAAGCUAGACAUCACCUUCUCCUUCCCCUGAGGCAUGGCUUUCUGGUGUGAUGCAGUGUUCUGGUGUCGUGGAUCAAGGGGUUCAAGUUGAGACGUGGUCAGCCUCUCAGGACAAGCUAGACAUCACCUUCUCCUUCCCCUGAGGCAUGGCUUUCUGGUGUGAUGCAGUGUUCUGGUGUCGUGGAUCAAGGGGUUCAAGUUGAGACGUGGUCAGCCUCUCAGGACAAGCUAGACAUCACCUUCUCCUUCCCCUGAGGCAUGGCUUUCUGGUGUGAUGCAGUGUUCUGGUGUCGUGGAUCAAGGGGUUCAAGUUGAGACGUGGUCAGCCUCUCAGGACAAGCUAGACAUCACCUUCUCCUUCCCCUGAGGCAUGGCUUUCUGGUGUGAUGCAGUGUUCUGGUGUCGUGGAUCAAGGGGUUCAAGUUGAGACGUGGUCAGCCUCUCAGGACAAGCUAGACAUCACCUUCUCCUUCCCCUGAGGCAUGGCUUUCUGGUGUGAUGCAGUGUUCUGGUGUCGUGGAUCAAGGGGUUCAAGUUGAGACGUGGUCAGCCUCUCAGGACAAGCUAGACAUCACCUUCUCCUUCCCCUGAGGCAUGGCUUUCUGGUGUGAUGCAGUGUUCUGGUGUCGUGGAUCAAGGGGUUCAAGUUGAGACGUGGUCAGCCUCUCAGGACAAGCUAGACAUCACCUUCUCCUUCCCCUGAGGCAUGGCUUUCUGGUGUGAUGCAGUGUUCUGGUGUCGUGGAUCAAGGGGUUCAAGUUGAGACGUGGUCAGCCUCUCAGGACAAGCUAGACAUCACCUUCUCCUUCCCCUGAGGCAUGGCUUUCUGGUGUGAUGCAGUGUUCUGGUGUCGUGGAUCAAGGGGUUCAAGUUGAGACGUGGUCAGCCUCUCAGGACAAGCUAGACAUCACCUUCUCCUUCCCCUGAGGCAUGGCUUUCUGGUGUGAUGCAGUGUUCUGGUGUCGUGGAUCAAGGGGUUCAAGUUGAGACGUGGUCAGCCUCUCAGGACAAGCUAGACAUCACCUUCUCCUUCCCCUGAGGCAUGGCUUUCUGGUGUGAUGCAGUGUUCUGGUGUCGUGGAUCAAGGGGUUCAAGUUGAGACGUGGUCAGCCUCUCAGGACAAGCUAGACAUCACCUUCUCCUUCCCCUGAGGCAUGGCUUUCUGGUGUGAUGCAGUGUUCUGGUGUCGUGGAUCAAGGGGUUCAAGUUGAGACGUGGUCAGCUUCCUGAAGAAAGUGGGGAUGUCCCUACUUAAGUCUUCAGUUACUUUGCCGUGUGCCUUGCAAGGACAAAAACUCCAGCCUUCAUCUUCUCCUGGUAUCCUGGUGUCGUGGACCAAGGGGUUCAAGUUGAGACGUGGUC
This is a non-coding RNA of Epinephelus lanceolatus (giant grouper), 5439 nucleotides long. The record is from RefSeq and is a predicted model, not a curated record. Lineage: Eukaryota; Metazoa; Chordata; Actinopteri; Perciformes; Serranidae.